Molecule: ribosomal RNA, 253 nt
Filed under: uncultured bacterium
Lineage: Bacteria
Description: partial 16S ribosomal RNA
Rfam family: Bacterial small subunit ribosomal RNA
Source: RNAcentral
UACGUAGGGUGCGAGCGUUAAUCGGAAUUACUGGGCGUAAAGCGUGCGCAGGCGGUUGUGCAAGACAGAUGUGAAAUCCCCGGGCUCAACCUGGGAACUGCAUUUGUGACUGCACAGCUUGAGUGCGGCAGAGGGGGAUGGAAUUCCGCGUGUAGCAGUGAAAUGCGUAGAUAUGCGGAGGAACACCGAUGGCGAAGGCAAUCCCCUGGGCCUGCACUGACGCUCAUGCACGAAAGCGUGGGGAGCAAACAGG